RNAcentral lists this ribosomal RNA (389 nucleotides) under uncultured bacterium. RNAcentral's name for it is "bacterial SSU rRNA". It matches the Rfam family "Bacterial small subunit ribosomal RNA", at positions 29 to 416 of the family's 1533-position model. The record is from RNAcentral.
AUUAAACGCUGGCGGCAUGCCUUACACAUGCAAGUCGAACGGCAGCACGGGGGCAACCCUGGUGGCGAGUGGCGGACGGGUGAGUAAAGCAUCGGAACGUAUCCUGGAAGUGGGGGAUAACGUAGCGAAAGUUACGCUAAUACCGCAUAUUCUGUGAAGCAGGAAAGCAGGGGAUCGCAAGACCUUGCGCUCUGGGAGCGGCCGAUGUCGGAUUAGCUAGUUGGUGGGGUAAAGGCCUACCAAGGCGACGAUCCGUAGCGGGUCUGAGAGGAUGAUCCGCCACACUGGGACUGAGACACGGCCCAGACUCCUACGGGAGGGCAGCAGUGGGGAAUUUUGGACAAUGGGCGAAAGCCUGAUCCAGCCAUGCCGCGUGAGUGAAGAAGGCC